RNAcentral lists this ribosomal RNA (254 nucleotides) under uncultured bacterium. RNAcentral's name for it is "partial 16S ribosomal RNA". It matches the Rfam family "Bacterial small subunit ribosomal RNA", at positions 524 to 776 of the family's 1533-position model. The record is from RNAcentral.
UACGUAGGGUGCAAGCGUUGUCCGGAAUUAUUGGGCGUAAAGAGCUCGUAGGCGGUUUGUCGCGUCGGCUGUGAAAAACUUGGGGCUCAACCCCAAGCUUGCGGUCGAUACGGGCAGGCUGGAGUUCGGUAGGGGAGACUGGAAUUCCUGGUGUAGCGGUGGAAUGCGCAGAUAUCAGGAGGAACACCGAUGGCGAAGGCAGGUCUCUGGGCCACUACUGACGCUGAGAAGCGAAAGCAUGGGGAGCGAACAGG